RNAcentral lists this long non-coding RNA (722 nucleotides) under Cercocebus atys (sooty mangabey). RNAcentral's name for it is "lncRNA (ENSCATG00000045855.1)". The record is from RNAcentral. Lineage: Eukaryota; Metazoa; Chordata; Mammalia; Primates; Cercopithecidae.
CACGGCCCAGCGGGGUGGAAGUGCCUGGAAAGUUUGUUUUCGGCUCGGCGCAGCUUGGAGUUGAGCCUCCAGAGUUACCUUUUGGUUCUGUCUGUAGAGGAACCGCCCUGGGCUUCCACCUGGAACGGGGUCCCUGGCGUCUCCGCCUGCGAGAGAAGCAGAAGGUGCAAGUUCUUGCUCGAAACACCUGACGCGCGUGGGCCCCCGUUUCCAGAUUACAGUGGUCGGGUAAACUCUCCUUUUACCGCCUGGCCAAGGGGCAUUUGGGUGCUUUUCCUGCCCGUGGCUGUGCUCAGCGUUGUGUGAAGCCCCUGGGAGGCGGAAUGUGCAGGAUCACCGAGGGGAAAGUGAGCUUGACAGUCCCCCAGUAUGACGCUGUGCCCAUCCAGUCCAGCAUGGUGUGAUGUUCCUGCCCGUCCCCAUCAAUGGUGAGGACCCAGACUGAGUCCAGCACAGCCCCUGACAUUCCUGAUGGCAACAGGCAGGGCCCCGCCGUGGACAGCACCGCAUCUGAGGCAGCCUGAGGACUUCAAGUUUGGGAAAAUUCUUGGGGAAGGCUCUUUUUCCACGGUUGUCCUGGCUCGAGAACUGGCAACCUCCAGAGAAUAUGCGAGUGAGUAUGGGCUGCAGGGAGCUGUGCGUCUGGGAGCAGGGCCAGCGACUCCGUGCAGGGCAGCCGGGGUGGCAGGGCCGGGGUGGCAGGGCCAGGGUUUCUGUGCUGA